GGCAACCGAAGAUUAUUCGCAAGGGAUUUGUCUCGCAUUCACCAUAUACAUUGUUGGUCCAAUAAUUUAAAAUUAGCAUGAUCGAUAUUUUCGGUGCCAAACCUAAGAUGUUGUGGAAUCUUUGCACUGUCCAGUAGAUAUUAACUGUGAUUUCCACACAAUUCAGUGAAGCACUAAAAUAUCACUGCUCGAAUUUCACCAUUUAACACCUUCAUCACAAAGUAUCCAUUCCUGCAAGUAAGGGGAAGACUGCAGCAUCAACAGAUCAGCAGUAUUCUGCAUUAUUUUUACCCUGGCUUGUAUCAGUUCGUGUUAACCUUGAGUCACCAACAAGGUACUACAUAGUAGAGCAGGGUCCUGAUAAUUGUAUUCAGCUACUGAAAUAAGGUAAGACAAUAUUCUGCCAAUGAUCACCCACUGGUAAAGAUGAUCUCAGCAAGGUAAGACUGCAGACAAUGACCUGAAAGAGAUGUAUGUAACUAGUAGCUGUGCGCUCACCUGCCAUUCCAUGAAUAACCUGCGACUACUCUCACCCACUGGUCCAUAUUCUGAACCCUCAGCUUACAAGGACACAUUUGAGUUCAAGGUGAUUGGUUAUAUCUCCGUGAUGAUGUUCAUUCU
This 621-nucleotide long non-coding RNA is filed under the name Hordeum vulgare. Its description in RNAcentral is "long non-coding RNA (HVUL_LNC008039)". The record is from RNAcentral. Lineage: Eukaryota; Viridiplantae; Streptophyta; Magnoliopsida; Poales; Poaceae.